AUGAUCUUCCUUACACUUCACCUGGACCUCAUUUGUUCUGUUCUGGACUCUGUCCAGGCUCCUGCAGACACCUUCAGAGGGUUUGUGUUCAGUGAUUCAGUAGUGGAGAAACCAAACUGGAUGUUGGCAUUUGUAUCACUGUGGUCCACUUUUGGUGGAGGCACCAAAGUUUCAGUUGGACGUGACACCCGGCCCACCCUCACGGUCCUGCCCCCCUCCAGCAUGGAGCUGCAGCAGGGGAAAGCCACACUCAUGUGUCUGGCCAACAAGGGCUUCCCCUCAGACUGGAAGCUGAGCUGGAAGGUGGAUGGUAAGAGUUGGAGUUCAGGGGUGAGCUCCAGCCCUGGGGUUUUACAGAAGGACGGUCUCUACAGCUGGAGCAGCACCCUCACCCUCCAGGAGGAGCAGUGGAGUAAGAUGUCAGUGACCUGUGAGGCCACACAGGGCUCCCAGUCUGCAGUGACCCAGACACUGAGUAAAGACCAGUGUUCUGAGUAGUGACAACACACACACAC
This is a non-coding RNA of Chanos chanos (milkfish), 515 nucleotides long. The record is from the annotation of a RefSeq genome assembly. NCBI's taxonomy places the organism in Eukaryota, Metazoa, Chordata, Actinopteri, Gonorynchiformes, Chanidae.